GGCUAACCUUAAAUAUUGAGUCGGCUAAGUGAAAACUCUAAGAUGACUCAGUAGCAGAUGCCAAAAUUCCAUCAUUCUGUCUGUUCUAUUUAUCUGAGUCAGCUCUCUUCUUAGUUGGCUAACUUGAUUACUUGAUCGGCUAACUGAUUCUCUAGAUUGGUUCAAAAAACUUACUGAUUUAUAUUAUUUUUUAUGUUCUUCUGUCUUUAAGGCUAAGUCGGCUAUCUUUCUUCUUAAGUCGACUGAGCUCCAAUCUUGGUCGGUUAACUUGAACACAAGAUCGACUCAAAAAAAUACUUUGAAUCUUUAUCUUUCUGUCUUCAUCCUGAGUCUGAGACUUAGUCGGUUAUCUAAAAGCUUAAGUCAGCUAAGAUCCUAUCUUGAUCGACUAAGAUAAAGGCUUGGUCGACUAAGACCCUAUCUACAUCCAAAAAACUUAUUGCAAUAAUAACAAAUAAAAAUAUAUAGAAUUAAAGUUUAGGAGCAAGAUCUAUUGCGUAUCAAGCAAUUGAUCCAGAAAAAUCUUCAGAUUCCAUUGCGUAUUAAAGAGCAAAUUUUAAUAGUCAAAUUUCUAUUGCGUAUUAAGCAAUUGAUCCAGAAAAAUCUUCAGAUUCGAUGUGGAUCAUUUUCACCACCAUAGACAUGAUCAAAAUAAGAUUUAGAAGCA
This 667-nucleotide long non-coding RNA is filed under the name Elaeis guineensis (African oil palm). RNAcentral's name for it is "long non-coding RNA (EGUI_LNC044049)". The record is from RNAcentral. Lineage: Eukaryota; Viridiplantae; Streptophyta; Magnoliopsida; Arecales; Arecaceae.